Non-coding RNA from Lentinula aff. lateritia, 98 nucleotides. Lineage: Eukaryota; Fungi; Basidiomycota; Agaricomycetes; Agaricales; Omphalotaceae. The record is from the annotation of a GenBank genome assembly.
GGUUCAGUAGUGUAGAGGUUAUCACCCGGGAUUCUGAUCACUGCUGCUCCUCCUCUGCUCAUCUUCCCGUAACCCAGGUUCGAGUCCUGGUUGGACCU